Molecule: unclassified non-coding RNA, 242 nt
Filed under: Hevea brasiliensis (rubber tree)
Lineage: Eukaryota; Viridiplantae; Streptophyta; Magnoliopsida; Malpighiales; Euphorbiaceae
Source: RNAcentral
CAGAUGACGCGCUCGAUCGGGACAAUCUUGCGCGCGAUGAGACUUGAGGAUUCCAGAUCAGCGAUGCGAAGCGUGACAUCGAACCCGCCCUGCACCGGAUCGACCUGUUCAUCGCUCAGAACCANNNNNNNUGAAGUUCGGGAUUCGCCUCCAUGAAGUCGGCGAUCGCAGGGCCAAGCUGCAACGUCCCGAACGACAUCGGCGCAUUGACGCGAAGAAGUCCUCGCGGCGUGGAUUGCAGA